Molecule: RNA transcript, 8828 nt
Organism: Neoarius graeffei (lesser salmon catfish)
Lineage: Eukaryota; Metazoa; Chordata; Actinopteri; Siluriformes; Ariidae
Gene: wdr32
Gene name: WD repeat domain 32
Exons: 2
Source: RefSeq, a predicted model, not a curated record
GUGAACUCUUUGCACAUGUUCUUUUACAAAAGAGAGGUUUUCAGUCAAUGCAUUUGUGAAAGAUUUGCAUUGCAAAGACACUGACAAGGAGGAGCCCAAUUUAAAAAAAAAAAAAAAAGGGAUUUUGAAGGAAGCAAGUAUUUAAAGCUAGAUGGCCUUUUGCUUUCAUAAAAUUGGUGAAAUUUAGUUCACUCUGAAAUUUGGUCAUGUGAUGCAUGUUUAUUUCUGCAAUAUCUAAAAAAAAAAAAACAAACAAACAAAAAGAACCCCCAGGCCAUUCUGUGGCUGGGAAGUUAUUUAAUUUGAGGGGAUUCCCUCGCAAAUAAUGUGCAUGAAAUCGCUCACUUCGCACAGUCAAGCAGACAGAGGAAGUCCGGUGUGCGCAUGCGCAGGUUUACUUGCUGCUUCUUCUUUUGGGUUUUACGGCAGCUGGCAUUCAGUGUUGCAUUACUGCCAUCUGCAGGUUUACCUUGACCUGCACUGACAGUUACAUCAUUCUGUCGCUAAACAAACAGCUGAUCCACCGAGGUGUUCGCUGGGCGCCGAUAUUUAUUAGUUUAGUCCUGCGUUUCCUUUCCUUUGCAACAUAACGUCUUUUCUUCUCACUUUCCGUUACUGUAGUCCGUCUUUCACGUUUCUUCCAUUUUCCUUUCCUGUUUCACAUUUGUAUCCCACACUGUCUUGCGUGAACGGGGAAAAGCCCAACACAUGAUGCAUGAUCUUGAAUUGGGUCAUGACUGUAGGUACAGUUAACCUGGGCCUGCCCAUCCUAAGUGUGACGCAACACGGGGGCCUGUUGCGAACUUAGUCUGGCAAGGCAAGCUAUCUCCAGCUCUUCCAAGCUCCCGAAAAAUCGGGAGCCAAUCAACUUUGAGCAUCUCCAACGGCCCUGGGUAGAGGCGUGUUCAAGGCAGUGAUGUAGUAGAACUGCGACCGGAAGCCAUAGAUUGUUUACAGAAUCUAUGCCGGAAGCGCUUCAUUCACUAGAAACAUUACGAACAUGGAGCAGCGGCAAGCCUUUGACACAGCGGUAGAUGCUGUAUUGAAAGCAUUCAACGGGAAGUUCUCAUUGAAAACGGAGCAAAGAGCAGCCCUGGAGGUAUUUAUCUUCUUCCUGUUACUCAAGCAGUUUCCAUCGCGUCACAUGCGUCAGAGGAAAGAGUGAUGUGAUUGGUUUAAGCUUCGUCACAGCCUUUUCUGGCUUCGACCAGUAGCAAACUGAGGCAUUUCAGGGAGGCGGGUCAACCAUGCGCUUUGGGAAACGGUUGGGCUUAAUAUCUUUGCCAGACCAAUGCUCGCAGAGCUUUGAAGUUGCGUUAGCCAGACUAAGGUACAGUCCCUUUAAGAACUACAUUUCCCAUCAGCCAACUUCCGCGUUGACCUAUGUCACGCCUGGGCGGGAUCACCUACGUCACUUCCUCCCGGAGCUCAUAAGUAACUGAGCAACGCUUCCUUCUUCCUCUUUCCGUCUUGGACUUCAAGCCGUCCGGACACAGAGAUACUCACCCGAGCAAACCAGAUAAAGAUGUCUUUUCUUUCUUGCAAGAUCCACGAUUUAGCGCGAUUUCUUUGUUUACCACUGGCCCCGGUAAAAAUCCAGAAUCGCGCGACUUUAAACUCCGAUAGAGUUACAACCGGUUUUGUUUGUAUAUUAUCAGUAACGUUACGUACGACUGCAGCCCAAGCAGUUAAUUUAAAGAGUUAGAAGCGACCGGAUCCUUCUAAUUAAAGCGCUGUGCACAUUAUUCUGAUCAGAGACUCUCUUCAUCACGAGCGACCACGCGUCGGACCAAGAAAUCCUCUGCUUUCUACAGAAGCGACUCACGUGCUCCACAACGGUGAAACUCCAAAAGUCUUGGAACAUCUCAUAAUCUCGCGUAGAGACGAGAUACUGAAGUAAGACUGGCAUUUGGGCAUAAAACUAGUCUUAGGAAUUAGCUUUAUUGAAGUAGUGUGAAUUUAAACUCAGGAAUGGUUUAAUUGUUUACACUGUAGACACGCAGAGUGUCAAAUGGAUGAUUGUUCUAUUUUGUUUUAAUCUCUCAAUUGUUUGAUAGGCUGUGCAUGCUUCUCUAUUCCUUACUAACAUCCUCAAUUUCCUUAUUACACAUUUUGACCUCAUCAAGAUUUCAGUGGAUGUAGUAGUGUUAUGAGCUAGUGGGUUAGCUACCGGCUAGUCCUUUGUUACUUAGAAACACGUGGCCACAGGCCUCACAACACACCUUAGCUAAACACACGGCUAAUUCCUUUAUCUCGUUAGCAAGCUAGGCUAACCUUUUGCUUAGGCCACACACAAACGCACCUUAGCUAGCAAUCCAUGCUAACUUUUUGUUCAGGCCACACACAGGCUAACUCUUUGUCAGGCCACGUGGACAAACACACCUUAGCUAGCAAUCCAUGCUAACUCUUUUGUUCAGGCCACACACACAGGCCUCACAAACGCAUCUUAGCUAGCAUUCCUUUGUCUUAGCUAGCGACACAAGGCUAAUCUGUGUCUCCACACGUGGCCAACACAUUGCAAUUAGCGACCAAAGCUAACUCUCUUGCUGUACUUAGAAACACGUGGUCAUAAGGCCUCCCUGUCACACACACGCACACGCACACACAUACCAUAUCAUAUUUGUAUAUAAUGAUUCCAACUGAUAUUAUCCAUUUUUAUCUUUGUUAUAAUAAAUUAAUUUAUUAUUGAAACUGUGUUUAUUUGUGUUCCGAUGUUUUUGAAGUCGCCCAACCUCAAAGAAUUCCAAGGUGCAUAUGAGUUGUGUAAUACGGUAAGGGGUCAUCCAUAAUUUUCAUCAUUAUCUUGAGUCUACAAAGAGUAGACUUUUGAGCAACCCCCCUCCCUCCCCCUCCCCCAAAAGUGUACAUUAGCGGACAAAAAAAUGAUGGAUCUACGUGGAAUAGGAAUUCAAAAUAAAACCAUGUCUUGUAUUACUUUUUAUUAAAAUUGGAUGACAGGACAAUACAAAGAUUCACAAGAGAAGAAAAGAAGACACAAGACGGUUCUAGAAGUUUUCAUAGAAAGCAGGCAAUUCAUUUUACAGUCCCCCCAGGAUUUUGCGGGACUUAUUUGUGAUUGUCGCGGGCUAAAAUGUCUGAUGUUGUGGGGGGUUUUCCAAAAAAUUGCGAUGAAAGUUGCGGUGUUUUUUAGGUUUUUGUUGCGAUUACAUUGCGGGAGGAAGUGAAAGUUGCGAGAAAUUGUUGCGAUUUUCUCUUUUUGUGAUUAAAAUUGAGUGAUAUGUUAAAUAUUAAGUUAUUACUGAAAAACUACUGAUUAAAAAAACAAAGACACUGAGAAAUGGUCCUAUAAACAACUUUAUCAAUAUAAAAGAUUACCAGGACUACAAAAAUGCAGAAAAAUAGGCUUUACUUAUCCAAAUGCACCUGUUGGUUCAAAAGUUAAAGUGCAGAGAACCUCACAGCACAACAUGAAGUUACCUUAAAAUAUAAAUGCCUCAGCUUUCAUGUAAGAAAAAACACUAUUAAUACUAGUACUGUGUGCAGGCAGUCUCUCCUGAAGACUAAAUUAAACAAUUAUAAACUAAUAAAAUAAAUAGCUCAGGCUUCAUAGAAGAAAAAACAAUUUGAACAGAAUCUCACAGUAUGAUGCUGAAGCUGCCUAAACAAUGGAAAAUAAAAUACCAUUUUGGCAAAAAUGUAUUAAAUGUAUUAAUCAGUAGUUUUUGGCAAAAAUCCAUUAAUUUCUUGUAUUAAGUAAAAAAAAAAAUAAUGUAAAGUACACAGUCCUUCACUGCAAACAUAACACACUUUCAGUAACAGAAUUUAAGCCUACAUAAACACUGACUCGCACAUGCUGCUUCUCUUGAACGUAUACAUGGAAGUAAGCAGCGUUGCCAGAUACUGCUGACGUUUUCCAAGCCCAAAAUAUGUUCAAAACUCGCCAAAAUGCACUUGAAACCCCCCAACUGGACGGGAAACCGCCCAGUCUGGCAACACUGGAAGUAAGGCGGAAGGUAGUUUGUCAACGUCACCUCAAGAUGACACCAACGGUUGGUCAAAUUUGCGGGAAAGUUUCGGCGAUUGGGUAUAAUUGCAACACCGCCCUGAAUUCGCAAAUCGCAACAUCCUGGAGGGUCUGAUUUUUGAAAAUUAGGAACUGUCUUUUUAAGGGGAGCUGUUGCCUUUUGGCUUUGAAACAUUCGUUUUUGAUUCUUUCCAAGCAGCCUGUCCUGCCCUAACUGCCUCCUCUCAGAUGAAUGCAGGAAACAAUAAAUGUUUAAAAACUGCUCGUACUCGUUUGAAGGAGUCUUGUGAAUAGCGGUAUUUCUGCUAUUCACAAAUUUAUAAACGCAGUCAAAAUCUGGGUCAGCCAUUGUUGUUGUAUUGAAGAAAGAAAGCGUGUAGAGCUAGCUGGCAAGACCGAUGUGGCGCGAAAUUUUUAAUAUGGCGGCCGCCGAUUCGCACAUUGACGGAUCAUCAUUUUUUCAUUUUAAAAAGUGUACGCCUGGUCAUUAACCCCCUCCCCCCAGCGUACGGUUUGUACGCUCGUGAUAAUGAUGAAAAUUAUGGAUGACCCCUAAGUGAUCAUAAUAAUUUGGAAUAUACCAUAAUUUAGCUGUUUGGUAAUGUAUUAUUAAGCACUAAAAUUAAUGGUAUUAAUUAAUGAGACUGAUUCCAUGAGUGAUUUGAUUCAAUGAGACUGAUUUAAUGAGAUUGAUCACUUAAUUACCAAUUGCACCUAUAGUUAAAUUGGUGCCCCAUGUGAGGCGAUUGGUGUUGACUUCUUGAAUAUUGUUGCAACAACAGAUAAACUCUCAGUUUGAUUCAGCAGUUGCCAAGGAAUAUCCCCAGGUGUGUUAGACGGUUAACAGUAGCGUGAUAACCAUAUCACAAAAUACUAAUAACCUAUUCUUAACUUAGGAUAAGAGAGAGCAUUUCCAAACAAACUUUAUCAAUUGAUUAAUUAAUUACCUAAUAGCCAACCUAAGCAAACUGGCAUCCCCUCAUGUCUCAAAAAUUGAAGACAAUGCUCAAGACGUGUCUCUGCUUGAGGUCAUUGCAGACCUCAUUCACUGCUCUGCCUCCAAAAAGGCAAACAUUAGGAACACGAGUAAGAGUGAAUGCCAAAACAACAUAGACAACUCGAAUAAACAUAGAGAUCCAAAAAGAACAACCAUUGGUGUCCAAGUAAGCUAUUCCUGUCAUACUUCCGAGAUACUGAUUCAGAAAUCAGACGCCUCCGCAGAGAGGUUGAAAGGCUGACCACCAGCAAUGCCGAGCUGGCAGCCGAUAAUAAUGAUUUAUAUAGGGAGUGUGAGCUCUUGAAGAACUCCCUUGAUUGCGCCAAAAGGCUAGAGAAAGCUGAAAUGGCUGCCAAGAGGGCUGCCGAGGAGCAGACCCCCCAAGAAGAGUGCGAGGGGCGUGAAAGACCCCCCAACAAUGCGCCGAAGCUCAGAGCGGGAGGAGGCGUCUGAACCGGAUACCGUAGAUUACCUGGUCGAGGACCAGACACCCCGCCAAACUCCAUCAACUCGCUACACGACUUCGUUUAGCCAGGGUGGAGCUGUACUGUGCUCAUCCCGAGCCCAGGACCCUAGCACACCCAGGUCAGUGUGCUACAUUACCCCUGAUCCAUCUUUGGAUGAAUCAGGCUAUGAAUCUAGUGCGAAAUGGGAGCAACACCAGAGUAACUUAGAUAGUGAGUACUCAAGAGAGCCAAGGAGGUCGCACAAGGGUGUGCACCAAACUCUUCGCUUACGGCAAAUUGACCUACUUGGCAACGAUGUUGAGCGAUUUGAUCCUGAGAAUAAAAGAACAAAUGUAAAUGAUUAUUUACAAGAAAUUGGCCGAUGCCUGAUGGACCUACCGAAAGCCACAAUGCAAGAGAAACUCAAACUGAUUUGGAAGACCUCCAGUAGCAGCGUUCGCGCCUUUUUAGAGACGCUACCCCCAAACAUUCGCGAUAGUUAUUCGAAACUUCGCAAUUACAUGAGGGAAGAAUAUGCGCCGUACACGGACGAAACCUCCGCGACAUUGUGUGCAAUACAGAUUAAACAUAAACGGUCUGAGGCGCCUCGUGAAUAUUAUAGAUGGCUACAUACUGCCUAUUUCCAGGGUAGUAGCGCACCAGGCUUGGAAGAAGAUAGAGGCUUCAAAUCCCUCUUCUUACAUAACCUCCACCCAAGCGUGCGGACUCAAGUCGCACUGACGUGUCAACAGGGUGUCCACUCGAUGAGGGAAAUUAGGCAACUAGCCCAAAUGACCUGGGAGACCAUUGUCAAAACCGCAAACGGAAACGAUGAUGAACCUAGAGUCCUUAGUCUCCAAGGUGAGGACAAGCCCCCGCUAGCCCUAGAAGGAGGCGAAGCUCCAAAAGGGGGACCCCCUGGAGAAAUCCCGGUCCGAACCGCCCCUUGCCGAGCCAUCACCAGGGUGAGUGGAAGAAUCGGCAAGGUAAGGUCAGGAGGGACCGAGGGCAAGUCCACAAUGACCAUGGCAACCGGCCAUCAUGUGAAAAGGGUCGUAGGGAGCAAGGCGGUUGGCAGCAAGACCGUCAUCCCCGCUCUGGCCAGAGACGGCAGGAGCGCUCCGACUGUAGCUCUAAACGUAGGGGUACAGAUGACCGACACAGUGACUCAGACCAACCUGGUGAGUUCCGCUCAGAGCUGGAUUCUUUAAAAGCCCAGUUGGCUGAGAUUAAAGAACUGUUACAAAAGAGGUCCGACCCCUCAACAAAUAAAUAGAAACGAGCGUAAAAGGACAAAAGGCCUACUACGACCGAAAAGCCUCCCAUCACAAAUAUCAAAUAGGCGACAAAGUCCUACAUUUUAACUUUACCAAGACAGUAGAAGUCUCAAAGUUCCUACCACAUUGGUCAGGACCUCUCGAUUGUAGGAAAACCGUUCCCCGUCGCGUAUCGCAUUAGGACAUCCAGGCCUAAUCAAACGCCCUCAUAUCGAUUUCCAUAACAAUCAAAUCAAGCCUUUUGAACAGUUUCACUCCAAAAAGGGGGGGACGAUAGCUAGGCCCAUCCUGUCCACCCAGCUUGUACGCCUCACUCAUCACAAGCGUACACUGACAUUCCCAGUCACAUUCACCAAACACUAAUACUUCUUUUCUUCCUUCAUUCCUUCUCUUUUCUUGUUUUUUUUUUUUUUUAUGCGUAGGGAAUGAAAUAUACAUGUUUCAUGUUUAAUGUUUCUUUAUAGAUGUGAUUUUGACCUAGUUAGAGUAAUUAUAUGCCCAAAUGCCUCUGCCUCCAACUGUCUUACUGGAACUCAUGAGUUUACACAGUUUUCACAGGACACCAUGGACUGUGCAGAGCAAAGCCACCUCAAGGACUACGGACAUGUGGACUGUACGGUACUGUGCUCUCAGUGCUACGACUACAUCAUACCCCUGAGACCAAAAGGGGGAAUGUAGGUACAGUCCCUUUAAGAACUACAUUUCCCAUCAGCCAACUUCCGCGUUGACCUGGGCAGGAUCACCUAAGUCACUUCCUCCCUGAGCUCAUAAGUAACUGAGCAACGCUUCCUCUUCCCGUCUUGGACUUCAAGCCGUCCGGACACAGAGAUACUCACCCGAGCAAACCAGAUAAAGACGUUUUUUCUUUUCUUUCUUGCAAGAUCCAUGAUUUAGCGCGAUUUCUUUGUUUACCACUGGCCCCGGUAAAAAUCCAGAAUCGCGCGACUUUAAACUCCGAUAGAGUUACAACCGGUUUUGUUUGUAUAUUAUCAGUAACGUUACGUACGACUGCAGCCCGAGCAGUUAAUUUAAAGAGUUAGAAGCGACUGGAUCCUUCUAAUUAAAGCGCUGUGCACAUUAUUCUGAUCAGAGACUCUCUUCAUCACGAGCGACCACGCGUCGGACCAAGAAAUCCUCUGCUUUCUACAGAAGCGACUCACGUGCUCCACAACGGUGAAACUCCAAAAGUCUCGGAACAUCUUCUCAUAAUCUCGCGUAGAGACGAGAUACUGAAGUAAGACGCAUUUGGGCAUAAAACUAGUCUUAGGAAUUAGCUUUAUUGAAGUAGUGUGAAUUUAAACUCAGGAACGGUUUAAUUGUUUACACUGUAGACACGCAGCGUGUCAAAUGGAUGAUUGUUCUAUUUUGUUUUAAUCUCUCAAUUGUUUAAUAGAUAGGCUGUGCAUGCGUCUCAAUUUCCUUAUUACACAUUUUGACCUCAUCAAGAUUUCAGUGGAUGUAGUAGUGUUAUGAGCUAGUGGGUUAGCUACCGGCUAGUCCUUUGUUACUUAGAAACACGUGGCCACAGGCCUCACAACACACCUUAGCUAAACACACUGCUAAUUCCUUUGUCUUGCUAGCAAGCUAGGCUAACCUUUUACUUAGGCCACAGGCCACACACACACCUUAGCUAGCAAUCCAUGCUAACUUUUUGUUCAGGCCACACACAGGCUAACUCUUUGUCAGGCCACGUGGACAAACACACCUUAGCUAGCAAUCCAUGCUAACUCUUUUGUUCAGGCCACACACACAGGCCUCACAAACACAUCUUAGCUAGCAUUCCUUUGUCUUAGCUAGCAACACAAGGCUAAUCUGUGUCUCCACACGUGGCCAACACAUCUCAAUUAGUGACCAAAGCUAACUCUCUUGCUGUACUUAGAAACACAUGGUCAUAAAGCCUCUCACACACUCACACACACACAUAUACCAUAUCAUAUUUGUAUAUAAUGAUUCUAACUGAUAUUAUCCAUUUUUAUCUUUGUUAUAAUAAAUUCAUUUAUUAUUGAAACUGUGUGUUUGUGUUCCGAUAUUUUUGAAGUCGGCCAACCUCAAAGAAUUCCAAGGUGCAUAUGAGUUGUGUAAUACGGUUCUUCCACAGCCUCCAGGACGUCAGGAUCUCGCCA